CCUACGGGAGGCAGCAGUGAGGAAUAUUGGUCAAUGGACGAGAGUCUGAACCAGCCAAGUCGCGUGAAGGAUGACUGCCCUCUGGGUUGUAAACUUCUUUUAUAUGGGAAUAAAAUGUUCCACGUGUGGGAUUUUGUAUGUACCAUAUGAAUAAGGAUCGGCUCACUCCGUGCCAGCAGCCGCGGUAAUACGGAGGAUGCGAGCGUUAUCCGGAUUUAUUGGGUUUAAAGGGAGCGUAGGAGGAUUUUUAAGUCAGUUGUGAAAGUGUGCGGCUCAACCGUAAAAGUGCAGUUGAAACUGGCAGUCUUGAGUACAGUAGAGGUGGGCGGAAGUCGUGGUGUAGCGGUGAAAUGCUUAGAUAUCACGAAGAACUCCGAUAGCGAAGGCAGUUCACUGGACUGCAACUGACACUGAGGCUCGAAAGUGUGGGUAUCAAACAGGAUUAGAUACCCGUGUAGUC
This 460-nucleotide ribosomal RNA is filed under the name uncultured bacterium. RNAcentral describes it as "partial 16S ribosomal RNA". It matches the Rfam family "Bacterial small subunit ribosomal RNA", at positions 338 to 795 of the family's 1533-position model. The record is from RNAcentral.